This is a long non-coding RNA of Alosa sapidissima (American shad), 937 nucleotides long. RefSeq lists it as uncharacterized. The transcript has 5 exons. The record is from RefSeq and is a predicted model, not a curated record. Lineage: Eukaryota; Metazoa; Chordata; Actinopteri; Clupeiformes; Clupeidae.
UAUGGGAGUUAGCAGAGAGGUGGUCCCUCCAGCCUACGUCGAUUCUUCUACUUCCGGGAAUUCGCCUGCCCCCUUGGGUAAACCAGAGCCCAUGGUGGUGACUUCAACCGUCACUUUUCUGUCAUGCAUCUGACUGCAAGCUGUACAAACUCUGCCGUCAUCAUAUCCAAGGCAGUAAGUUGUGAAGACUGCUUCCCUGAGAACACUGAGUGCAUUCUGGAAUAUUCCAAAUGUGUCCCACUUCCAUACAAAAGAAGUUCGAAUCCCGCAAGAGAGUUCACUCACCAGGUAGAGACAGACAGACAGACACACACACACACACACACACACACGUAGAAUAGCAAAUAACAUUAUUUGCAUGUAUUUGUGUCUGUUACUGUGUUUAGUUUAUCCCCUUUUUUCAUGUGUCAUUAAGUAAAGAUCCGUCAUUAUUGUCAGCUGUAACUUACCCCGAUAUUUAUUUAUAGCCUACUGUCUUGUUCAUACAUCGGUACACGUCGCAGCUGAAGGAAACAAGGCAAGUCAAGAAACUGAAACCCUCACAAAUAAAGUCACAAAUCAAGAAUUAACAUUGAUGGUGAUGGUGGCAAGGGUGCCUUCAUAAGGUGCCAUCCAGCAAGUCCCAGCCUGGAGCCAGAGGCUGGCACUGCACGUCAGAUGGGGGAGGAUCUAUGUUAGGCGUCAGGAAGGUGGUUUAAGCAAGAAGGCAAGAACUUCUGCAGACAGUGUUGCAAUUAGACACCUGACUUUUACUGAGUCCCUUUUCUGGUUUGUUUUGGAUGAACUAGAGUGGUGGGCACAGAAAUUUUGUCGAUGGGUCAAACAUUCACACACUCACUCACACAACCACACUUGUGGAUUUGUCAAGCAACAAAUCUUUGUAUAUAAUCUGUUGCUCAUUGAAUAUGCUUAAUAAAUGUUGUCUUCUUGACUUGUA